RNAcentral lists this long non-coding RNA (1210 nucleotides) under Olea europaea subsp. europaea. Lineage: Eukaryota; Viridiplantae; Streptophyta; Magnoliopsida; Lamiales; Oleaceae. The record is from RNAcentral.
CACAUCUUCAGCGGAGACAGCCAUCGGCUCCGAUGAUCACUCCGACGGCUGUUCGACUAUCCCUUCAACAAAUUGUUCUAAUGACCACUCCGAAGCCUGUGACCAACUUUGUCUUUGGAGUGACUAAUUGUGACCAAAUUUGUAUUCAGUAUAACCAUCUGUGAUCAAGUCAAUCGCAAGUCACAAUCGAUUACAACCAACUCAAAAUUGGUCACAAACAGUCACAACAACACAUACUUGAUCGUAUAGGGUCACCACAAACAAAUCUCCAUACACCGCAGACAUGUGAUUAACCAUGAUUAACUUUGUUUUCGACGUGACUAACUGUGACCAAAAUUGUAUUCAGUGUGACUGUCUGUGACCAUGUCAAUAUCAAGUUAGAACCAAUCACAGAACCAUCAUAGCCAACCAGAGAACAACCAUAACCUAUACCGCCACCAGCGAACCAAAUAUGCACCACCUUACCAUGACCACUAACAACAGAAUCAUCACAUAUCAGAAAUCAUCGACACUGCUGAAACACCCACAACUAUCCCAAAAAUUUGGUUAAAGAAAAAAUUUGAUAAAAAAACCACCAUCACUAAAUAUUUGAUAAAGCUAUGCUGGUUCCAUCUCCUUCAUUACCAAAUCCAAAACCAAAACCAAAACCAAAACCAAUUUUCUCUCCACCACCACCUGUGAGCUCAUCUCUACCACCCACAUUAUGUUUUCCUCAAUCUACACAUCAAUUGCCGGAGCCCUCUUUUGAAUUCACAUGAGCUUUGGCGAACACCAUCGGAAAACCAAAAUUGCACUCAACACCCAAGUUAUGAAAAACCACCUCAAAUUUCAAGCUAAAAAAGCUAAAAACAGAGAAAUGUUCAGAUACAAAUGAAGAUUCAAUUGGGCACAAACUCCCGUAAAAUAUACAGCGCCAUUCAAUCUUCUCGGAUUUGAAAACUCUACAAAUGAAAUUACAACAAGGCAGGUCUGAAAAAGAGAUUCAAUAAUGUUUAUGUAUAUGUAGAUGCUCUGUCUCUCUCUCUCUCUCUCUAUAUCUUGUAUAUUGCAUCAAAAAGGGAGAUGGUUGGGUGAGUGCAUGAAGAGAGAGAGAGAGAGGUGGGAAAUGAAAAUAUUUAAGUCUUGGAUUUGGGAAGAAAAUAGGGGUAGAAUGGGCGGUGGGUAUGUACAUUUAAUUAAAUUUUCAUUAACUAUAAUUAUUAAAUCUAAU